GAUGAACGCUGGCGGCGUGCCUAAUACAUGCAAGUCGAGCGAACAGACGAGGAGCUUGCUCCUCUGACGUUAGCGGCGGACGGGUGAGUAACACGUGGAUAACCUACCUAUAAGACUGGGAUAACUUCGGGAAACCGGAGCUAAUACCGGAUAAUAUAUUGAACCGCAUGGUUCAAUAGUGAAAGACGGUUUUGCUGUCACUUAUAGAUGGAUCCGCGCCGCAUUAGCUAGUUGGUAAGGUAACGGCUUACCAAGGCAACGAUGCGUAGCCGACCUGAGAGUGGGGACGGCCCCAGCGAAAGGUGAGCCGCUUCCAGCUACCAGUGGGAGGCCUGUGUGGGGCUUUUUCCGCAAAUGGGUAAACAUUAAGGGAGAAAGGCACCGUGCUGGUAAAGGGUUUGGGGAUAAAAAAUCUUUUUUAUUAGGAAAAAACAAAUUGUUAAUUCAUCUCAAGCAGCUGUACAGAACCAAACUGAAAAGCAACGUCGAAAUGAGA
This 496-nucleotide ribosomal RNA is filed under the name uncultured bacterium. RNAcentral describes it as "partial 16S ribosomal RNA". It matches the Rfam family "Bacterial small subunit ribosomal RNA", at positions 28 to 506 of the family's 1533-position model. The record is from RNAcentral.